Amaranthus tricolor (Joseph's coat) is the source of this 2292-nucleotide RNA transcript. It is a transcript of the gene named protein disulfide-isomerase-like, with no coding region annotated. The transcript has 12 exons. Lineage: Eukaryota; Viridiplantae; Streptophyta; Magnoliopsida; Caryophyllales; Amaranthaceae. The record is from RefSeq and is a predicted model, not a curated record.
CAUUAUGUUUCUGAAGGUGCUUAUCACGUGUCAAAUUCAAUUAUUGAAUUAUCAGUAUUUUCACUCACUAUACAAAUUAGCAAAUCAAAAACAGUUGGAAGACUAAGUAAUUCCUUAUCAUUGAUUUUCUCAUAAACAAAGUUAAUUAGAGAGAGAGAAGAAGAAGAAAUAAAGGGUGGGAAAUGGGUGUAAGAUGGAGGGGACUAGAGGUGUGUUUGAGUGUGGUGUUAAUAGCAGCAAUAAGUGGUAUUGAAGCAGAAGAAAAAGGAAAACAUGGUGUGAUUACAAUAAAUCAUUCUAACUUCGCUGAUAUUGUUUCCAAACAGGAUUUCAUCUUAGUAGAGUUUUAUGCUCCUUGGUGUGGAUUUUGCAAAAGACUAGCUCCAGAGUAUGAGAAGGCUGCCGUUACACUAAGCAAGCACGAUCCUCCGAUCCCCCUUGCGAAAGUUGAUCUUACUACUGAUGAAAAUAAGGAAUAUUUUAAGUCUAUGUUUGAAGUCCGAGGCUUUCCCACCCUUAAAAUUCUGAGAAAUGGAGGAAAACAUAUCCAUCAUAUCACCAAUACACCACAAUCAGCUGAAGAAAUAGUUAAGCUUGUCGAGAAAUUCCUGGGACCGGCUUCUGUUGAAAUCAAAUCUUAUGCUGAUUCUUCUAAAUACAUCGAUGAAAAGAAGACUUUCGUUGCAGGGGUGUUCACAAAGUUUGAAGGGGAAGAAUUUGAAAACUUCACCAAGUUGGCUGACAAAUUGCGGUUUGAAUACGAGUUUGGGCAUACAUUAAAUGCUAAAUUUCUUCCCAGAGGACCAGAUUUUGUCAAAGAGUCUACUGUUAGAUUCCUAAAGCCAUUUGAUGAACGUUUCGUUGAUACAAAGAUUUUUGAUUUGGAUGCCUUGGAGAAGUUCAUCAAAGAAGAAGAUAUGCCUACGGUUGUUCCAUUCAACAAGGAUCCCAGCAAUACCUACCUUCGUAAAAUUUUCCGUGAACAAAACGCAAAGAUCUUCAUGAUAUUGGACACCAAAAGUGUAAAUGCUGACAUUAUGAAGUCCAAAUUUAAUGAUGUGGCUGUCCUGCUCAAAGGAGGAAAUAGAUACUUUAUACUUUGUGAUGUUGAAGAAAGCAAAGAACUAUUAGAGACCUUUAAGCUUGAUCAUUCUCAUACGCCGUUCAUCUUUAUAUAUGAAAAUGACGAUAAGAAAUACCGUAAGACAAAUUUGAAGCCCGAUGAAGUUGCUUUUUGGUUCCGAGACUACAUGAAUGGAAAACUCGAACUUUAUCUAAGAUCACAACCUAUUCCCCAAGAGAACAAUGAGCCUGUAAAGGUGGUGGUUCUUGAUAGCUUGCAAGAUAUGGUUUUCAACUCUGGAAAAGAUGUAUUCCUAGAGUUUUACGCACCAUGGUGCGGUCACUGCAAGCAGCUAGCUCCAAUCUUGGAAGAAGUCGCUAUCUCAUAUGAAAAGGACACUGAUAUCUUGAUUGCAAAAUAUGAUAAAAGUGAAAAUGAUAUCCCAAGUGAAGUUUUCAAAGUGGAAGAUACUCCAACCAUGUAUUUCAUUAAAAAGGAAGGAGAAAUAAUAGAGUACAAUGGUGGUAAAACAAAGGAGGACCUUAUUAGAUUCAUCCAAGAACACAGGAAUGACAAGGAGAGCAAGAGCGAGGCAGAGAUGAAGAGUAACAAGGAUGAAUUGUGAUACUUUUAUCCCAUGCAAUGUUUGUUUGUCCUAAUUGUAUAUUCCUUGGUCUCUAAUAAAGUGGUGAAAUACCACCACCACUACAUUAAACACUUGUCUUCUCACCCCUCUUUUCUUAUUUCCCCAUUGCGCUCAAUUCAUAAGAGGAAGUUGGAACUUUAGUUGGGUGACUUUUGUGACUUGUGGUCGUGCAGUGACGCUUACAGGUCUAAUGUCGAGCAGCAGAAGGAUCAUAGACAGGCAUAGCAGGUAUUGGAGUUUCUUUUUCAUUGCCUUGCAUUGGGGGAGAGUGAUUAGGACGAAGCAUAACCUGUAUCAUACUGUUAUCUUUCGAUUUUGUAGCUCUUGUUUAUCUUUUGUAAACUUUGGUUGUGUAUGUUUUAUUAUGAGACCUCGUGUCUUCCCUUGUAUAUUUGUAUUUCCGCUGCGUAGUUUAUGACUUUGUAUGGUUUUAAGGAGUUAAGUCUUUUUAAAACGUACGCGUUGACACUGGAACCACGAUCCAUGCUUGGGGUAGGGGAUCGAACCACGAGGAUAAGGUUGACAAUAAAUUCACGUCUCAACAUAACUAGUUUUUGUAGGUUGAAGGGCAUCUAAAACUAAU